RNAcentral lists this non-coding RNA (21 nucleotides) under Caenorhabditis elegans. Lineage: Eukaryota; Metazoa; Nematoda; Chromadorea; Rhabditida; Rhabditidae. The record is from RNAcentral.
UAUUGUGCCUAGUUUGUCGUA